GAAUAAGCACCGGCUAACUACGUGCCAGCAGCCGCGGUAAUACGUAGGGUGCAAGCGUUAUCCGGAAUUAUUGGGCGUAAAGGGCUCGUAGGCGGUUCGUCGCGUCCGGUGUGAAAGUCCAUCGCUUAACGGUGGAUCCGCGCCGGGUACGG
Molecule: ribosomal RNA, 152 nt
Filed under: uncultured Bifidobacterium sp.
Lineage: Bacteria; Bacillati; Actinomycetota; Actinomycetes; Bifidobacteriales; Bifidobacteriaceae
Description: partial 16S ribosomal RNA
Rfam family: Bacterial small subunit ribosomal RNA
Source: RNAcentral